RNAcentral lists this long non-coding RNA (1268 nucleotides) under Trifolium pratense (red clover). Its description in RNAcentral is "long non-coding RNA (TPRA_LNC004159)". The record is from RNAcentral. Lineage: Eukaryota; Viridiplantae; Streptophyta; Magnoliopsida; Fabales; Fabaceae.
CCUUCCACUCCAAGCUUCAAACUCCAAAAUUUCUUGGUCAGAAGGUUGUGGCUUGCAUGUAUGAUUUUUCCUUCUCAAAUCAUCUAUAUAGAACAUUAAACAACAAUUACAAUUUCUCUCCCCCCAAUUCUUUACUCUGUCCAAAAAUUAAACCCUUAGAACCCAAUCCUCAAUUCUUCAAAUUUAGUUCUUGCAUGUGUGAUAUUUCAAACCACCAUUAAAGAACCCAUGAGAAAACAAAAGCAAAUUUUGGAACCUCUGUUUCUUUUCUCAACCGAACCAACCCUUCAUCUCCCUCAAUCUUCAUAAAUUCUUUCUUCCUUUCUUGCAUAUGGAUAAAUUCCUCAACCUUAAGCUUCUAGAUCCUAAUAAUUCAAGAUGUUGUCUAGAAUCCGAAUUUGAAGAACAAGCUUCAAGGAGGAACGGAAAUUGAGCUAUGAGCUUGAAGGAAAGCUUCAAGAUUGGAACUGAAAUUACAACCAAGUGGGUUAGUGAAAUUCCAAUUCUAUGAAAUUCUUGUACAAAUUCUGAUGUGGUAGCAAUUGCAAACUGUGGGUGUGUUUGAGAGAAUAAGCUGGAAGCCUUUGAGAAUCAUUGUUGGUUGAGAGUGUGAAUUGGAUGAAGUUUGAUAAAAUUUGUGUUUUGGACAUGUCUUCACUAAAACGGUAACUGCUCCUUCUCUGUAAUUCUGAUUUAAAUUCCACUUGUAGCUAUGGAAAACUAACGCAAUUCCCUUCGAUUUGAGUACCCACUUUUCGUAGAUUUUAGCUUAAUAUUGAGGUCUGUAGACGAGAUGGGAGUUAGGGUACUGUUGCUGCAAUUGUGCAGAAAUCUGGUUUCGGGUUCAGUGUAUUUCCGCUGUAAUUUUGCCUUUUCGCCAAGUCCCGGAACUGUCAAUGACUUAAACCACUCUUGACCAAUGGCUUGAUUAAGUGUUGGACUGAGUAUUGGAAUAAAAAGAAGACCGGAAGCUGGAGUUGAGGAAGAGAUUUCGGAUAAAAGAAAUCAAGGACACAAGUGGGUUCCUUUAGGUUUAGCACUACCAAAUGUAUUUAGUGUUUGGCAAAUUUAUGAUUUAGUUACUGACUAUAGUUUUAGAUGCUAAUGUAAAAGGAGUGUUAGGUACCCUUGUACUCCUAAUGUUCAUCAAACAAUGCUUUGGAGAAUAUUGAAUGUGCAUAAUAAUGUUAGAUCCCUUUCCCUUGAUUAUUAUGCCAUUAGUAGAAUAACACUUCAACAUAUAUAGAAAUUGGUGUACAAUGAGAUAU